RNAcentral lists this ribosomal RNA (253 nucleotides) under uncultured bacterium. RNAcentral's name for it is "partial 16S ribosomal RNA". It matches the Rfam family "Bacterial small subunit ribosomal RNA", at positions 524 to 776 of the family's 1533-position model. The record is from RNAcentral.
UACAGAGGGUGCGAGCGUUAAUCGGAAUUACUGGGCGUAAAGCGUGCGUAGACGGCUAUCUAAGUCGGGUGUGAAAGCCCCGGGCUCAACCUGGGAAUUGCAUUCGAGACUGAAUAGCUAGGGUGCGGUAGAGGGAAGCGGAAUUUCCGGUGUAGCGGUGAAAUGCGUAGAUAUCAGGAGGAACACCGGUGGCGAAGGCGGGUCUCUGGGCCGAUACUGACGCUGAGGAGCGAAAGCGUGGGGAGCGAACAGG